Molecule: ribosomal RNA, 2641 nt
Filed under: Pasteurella multocida
Lineage: Bacteria; Pseudomonadati; Pseudomonadota; Gammaproteobacteria; Pasteurellales; Pasteurellaceae
Description: partial 23S ribosomal RNA
Rfam family: Bacterial large subunit ribosomal RNA
Source: RNAcentral
AGAGCCAGUAAGUUUUAGCUAGCGUAUUAGAGGAAUUGGCUGGGAAGCCAAAUCAAAGAGGGUGAUAAUCCCGUACUCGAAAGUAUGGUAGUGGAACUAAGCUUACGAUAAGUAAGGCGGGACACGAGAAAUCCUGUUUGAAGAUGGGGGGACCAUCCUCCAAGGCUAAAUACUCCUGAUUGACCGAUAGUGAACCAGUACUGUGAAGGAAAGGCGAAAAGAACCCCGGUGAGGGGAGUGAAAUAGAACCUGAAACCCUGUACGUACAAGCAGUAGGAGCGAGGGCAACCUUGUGACUGCGUACCUUUUGUAUAAUGGGUCAGCGACUUAUAUUUUGUAGCGAGGUUAACUGAAUAAGGGAGCCGAAGGGAAACCGAGUCUUAACUGGGCGUUGAGUUGCAAGGUAUAGACCCGAAACCCGGUGAUCUAGCCAUGGGCAGGUUGAAGGUUGGGUAACACUAACUGGAGGACCGAACCGACUAAUGUUGAAAAAUUAGCGGAUGACUUGUGGCUGGGGGUGAAAGGCCAAUCAAACCGGGAGAUAGCUGGUUCUCCCCGAAAUCUAUUUAGGUAGAGCCUUGAGCGGACACCUUCGGGGGUAGAGCACUGUUUCGGCUAGGGGUCCAUCCCGGAUUACCAACCCGAUGCAAACUGCGAAUACCGAAGAGUGAUACUCAGGAGACACACGGCGGGUGCUAACGUUCGUCGUGGAGAGGGAAACAACCCAGACCGCCAGCUAAGGUCCCCAAGUCUAUAUUAAGUGGGAAACGAAGUGGGAAGGCUUAGACAGCUAGGAUGUUGGCUUAGAAGCAGCCAUCAUUUAAAGAAAGCGUAAUAGCUCACUAGUCGAGUCGGCCUGCGCGGAAGAUGUAACGGGGCUCAAAUAUAGCACCGAAGCUGCGGCAUCAGAAUUUAUUCUGUUGGGUAGGGGAGCGUUGUGUAAGCGGAUGAAGGUGGCUCGAGAGGGUUGCUGGACGUAUCACAAGUGCGAAUGCUGACAUAAGUAACGAUAAAACGAGUGAAAAACUCGUUCGCCGGAAGACCAAGGGUUCCUGUCCAACGUUAAUCGGGGCAGGGUGAGUCGGCCCCUAAGGCGAGGCUGAAAAGCGUAGUCGAUGGGAAACGGGUUAAUAUUCCCGUACUUGGUAAAGCUGCGAUGUGGGGACGGAGAAGGUUAGGUAAGCGGACUGUUGGAUAUGUUCGUUUAAGCAGGUAGUUGGAAAGGGUAGGCAAAUCCGCUCUUUCAUACAACAACGAGACGUGAUGACGAGGCUCUACGGAGCUGAAGUUACCGAUACCCAGCUUCCAGGAAAAGCCACUAAGCGAAAGGCUUUACUAAACCGUACUGAAAACCGACACAGGUGGUCAGGUAGAGAAUACUCAGGCGCUUGAGAGAACUCGGGUGAAGGAACUAGGCAAAAUAGCACCGUAACUUCGGGAGAAGGUGCGCUUACAGUAAUUGUAGUCCCUUGCGGAUGAAGGUGAAGUAAGUCGAAGAUACCAGCUGGCUGCAACUGUUUAUUAAAAACACAGCACUCUGCAAACACGAAAGUGGACGUAUAGGGUGUGAUGCCUGCCCGGUGCUGGAAGGUUAAUUGAUGGUGUUAUCGAAAGAGAAGCUCCUGAUCGAAGCCCCAGUAAACGGCGGCCGUAACUAUAACGGUCCUAAGGUAGCGAAAUUCCUUGUCGGGUAAGUUCCGACCUGCACGAAUGGCAUAAUGAUGGCCAGGCUGUCUCCACCCGAGACUCAGUGAAAUUGAAAUCGCCGUGAAGAUGCGGUGUACCCGCGGCUAGACGGAAAGACCCCGUGAACCUUUACUAUAGCUUGACACUGAACAUUGAAUUUUGAUGUGUAGGAUAGGUGGGAGCCUUUGAAGCAGUGACGCCAGUCAUUGUGGAGGCGACCUUGAAAUACCACCCUUUAACGUUUGAUGUUCUAACGAAGUGCCUGAAACGGGUACUCGGACAGUGUCUGGUGGGUAGUUUGACUGGGGCGGUCUCCUCCCAAAGCGUAACGGAGGAGCACGAAGGUUUGCUAAUGACGGUCGGACAUCGUCAGGUUAGUGCAAUGGUAUAAGCAAGCUUAACUGCGAGACAGACAAGUCGAGCAGGUGCGAAAGCAGGUCAUAGUGAUCCGGUGGUUCUGAAUGGAAGGGCCAUCGCUCAACGGAUAAAAGGUACUCCGGGGAUAACAGGCUGAUACCGCCCAAGAGUUCAUAUCGACGGCGGUGUUUGGCACCUCGAUGUCGGCUCAUCACAUCCUGGGGCUGAAGUAGGUCCCAAGGGUAUGGCUGUUCGCCAUUUAAAGUGGUACGCGAGCUGGGUUUAGAACGUCGUGAGACAGUUCGGUCCCUAUCUGCCGUGGGCGUUGGAUGAUUGAUUGGGGCUGCUCCUAGUACGAGAGGACCGGAGUGGACGCAUCACUGGUGUUCCAGUUGUCUCGCCAGAGGCAUUGCUGGGUAGCUAAAUGCGGAAGAGAUAAGUGCUGAAAGCAUCUAAGCACGAAACUUGCCAAGAGAUGAGUCAUCCCUGACUUUAAGUCAGUAAGGGUUGUUGUAGACUACGACGUAGAUAGGUUGGGUGUGUAAGUGUAGUGAUACAUUGAGCUAACCAAUACUAAUUGCCCGAGAGGCUUAACCAU